GGCGGACGGGUGCGUAACACGUGAGGAACAUGCCUAUCGGCGGGGGAUAGCCGGUCCAACGACCGGGUAAUACCGCGUACGACCUUGGGUGGCAUCACCUGGGGGUGAAAGCAGCAAUGCACCGAUAGAGUGCCUCGCGGCCUAUCAGCUAGUUGGUGGGGUAAUGGCUCACCAAGGCGACGACGGGUAGCUGGUCUGAGAGGAUGACCAGCCACAUUGGGACUGAGACACGGCCCAGACUCCUACGGGAGGCAGCAGUGGGGAAUAUUGCGCAAUGGGCGAAAGCCUGACGCAGCGACGCCGCGUGUGGGAUGACGGUCUUCGGAUUGUAAACCACUGUCGAGGAGGGACGAAGCUCUGACGGUACCUCCAAAGGAAGCACCGGCCUAACUCUGUGCCAGCCGACGCGG
This 410-nucleotide ribosomal RNA is filed under the name uncultured bacterium. Its description in RNAcentral is "bacterial SSU rRNA". It matches the Rfam family "Bacterial small subunit ribosomal RNA", at positions 97 to 520 of the family's 1533-position model. The record is from RNAcentral.